Molecule: ribosomal RNA, 170 nt
Filed under: uncultured Actinomyces sp.
Lineage: Bacteria; Bacillati; Actinomycetota; Actinomycetes; Actinomycetales; Actinomycetaceae
Description: partial 16S ribosomal RNA
Rfam family: Bacterial small subunit ribosomal RNA
Source: RNAcentral
UGGGGAAUAUUGCACAAUGGGCGCAAGCCUGAUGCAGCGACGCCGCGUGAGGGAUGGAGGCCUUCGGGUUGUGAACCUCUUUCGCUCAUGGUCAAGCCGCAACUCAUGGUUGUGGUGAGGGUAGUGGGUAAAGAAGCGCCGGCUAACUACGUGCCAGCAGCCGCGGUAAU